RNAcentral lists this small nuclear RNA (101 nucleotides) under Ancylostoma caninum (dog hookworm). The record is from RNAcentral. Lineage: Eukaryota; Metazoa; Nematoda; Chromadorea; Rhabditida; Ancylostomatidae.
AAGAUCGUGGAACGCUUCACGAAUUUGCAUGUCAUCUUUGCGCGGGGCCAUGCUAAUCUUCUCUCUAUUGUUUCAAUUUUAGUAUAGUAUAUUUUAGUAUA